RNAcentral lists this ribosomal RNA (429 nucleotides) under bacterium. RNAcentral's name for it is "partial 16S ribosomal RNA". It matches the Rfam family "Bacterial small subunit ribosomal RNA", at positions 355 to 776 of the family's 1533-position model. The record is from RNAcentral.
UAGGGAAUCUUCCACAAUGGACGCAAGUCUGAUGGAGCAACGCCGCGUGAGUGAAGAAGGUUUUCGGAUCGUAAAGCUCUGUUGUUGGUGAAGAAGGAUAGAGGCAGUAACUGGUCUUUAUUUGACGGUAAUCAACCAGAAAGUCACGGCUAACUACGUGCCAGCAGCCGCGGUAAUACGUAGGUGGCAAGCGUUGUCCGGAUUUAUUGGGCGUAAAGCGAGCGCAGGCGGAAUGAUAAGUCUGAUGUGAAAGCCCACGGCUCAACCGUGGAACUGCAUCGGAAACUGUCAUUCUUGAGUGCAGAAGAGGAGAGUGGAAUUCCAUGUGUAGCGGUGGAAUUCGUAGAUAUAUGGAAGAACACCAGUGGCGAAGGCGGCUCUCUGGUCUGCAACUGACGCUGAGGCUCGAAAGCAUGGGUAGCGAACAGG